This 253-nucleotide ribosomal RNA is filed under the name uncultured bacterium. Its description in RNAcentral is "partial 16S ribosomal RNA". It matches the Rfam family "Bacterial small subunit ribosomal RNA", at positions 524 to 776 of the family's 1533-position model. The record is from RNAcentral.
GACGUAGGGGGCGAGCGUUGUCCGGAUUUAUUGGGCGUAAAGCGUGCGCAGGCGGUUUGUUAAGUCUGAUGUGAAAGCCCCGGGCUCAACCUGGGAAUGGUAUUGGAAACUGGCAAGCUCGAGUUUGGCAGAGGGGGGUGGAAUUCCGCGUGUAGCAGUGAAAUGCGUAGAGAUGCGGAGGAACACCGAUGGCGAAGGCAGCCCCCUGGGCUAAGACUGACGCUCAGGCACGAAAGCGUGGGGAGCAAACAGG